CGUGUAGGCGGUUUGGUAAGUUGGAUGUGAAAGCUCCAGGCUCAACCUGGAGAGGUCGUCCAAAACUGCCAGACUAGAGGACGGUAGAGGGAGGUGGAAUUCCGGGUGUAGCGGUGAAAUGCGUAGAUACCCGGAGGAACACCAGUGGCGAAGGCGGCCUCCUGGGCCGUGCCUGACGCUCAGACGCGAAAGCUAGGGGAGCGAACG
Molecule: ribosomal RNA, 207 nt
Filed under: uncultured bacterium
Lineage: Bacteria
Description: partial 16S ribosomal RNA
Rfam family: Bacterial small subunit ribosomal RNA
Source: RNAcentral